RNAcentral lists this long non-coding RNA (346 nucleotides) under Anas platyrhynchos platyrhynchos (common mallard). RNAcentral's name for it is "lncRNA (ENSAPLG00000019638.1)". Lineage: Eukaryota; Metazoa; Chordata; Aves; Anseriformes; Anatidae. The record is from RNAcentral.
AAUUUAUUUUAAAUCCUCCUGAAGAGUUAAGGGAUUAGGAAAUGAUGGAUUAUAGCAGUAAUGAUAGAUCAUGUUUAAUGUCUUGCAUAUUUUUCCACUACUGCAGGUUAAAUACUGACCAACCCUUACCUUAUAAAGCCUCAUUUAAACCUAAUACUCAAAGGUGCUCGGCCACGCGACAUGAGUUGGCUUGAAGAGGGGACCUUUCUUCUGUGGUCAGACUGAGCUGCAAUGAAGCAGAAUGAUAUUUCUGCAGCCAGUGCCUGGCACAGGCUGUGUCCAGCUUUUCGGUCAGCACCUUGGGAGCUGAGGCAGGGAAGGCUGUGCCUUUGCUUCAUGUGCUUGC